CCGAGUCUCUCUUUUUUUGCCGGCUGAGAGAGGAAAACACGCGCGCGCACACACCGUGAUAUCUUGCGGGUGAUGAAUAUGAUAAUUGGACAAGGGACGCCUGGAAAAGGAUUAUCCCUACUGUAUGGAUAAGUCUCAUUUCCAGUCUCCAGAUGUUCAAGGCCACCAAGCUGAGACUGAAAAACCUGGAGCAAGAAGCUACACUUUACAGAGGGCAUACUUCUGUAGGCCUACAUCUCUGGCUACUCCUCACUGUGGAGCUGGCUUCUCCCAUUCCCGGUGUGUUGAGGACUCC
Long non-coding RNA from Sciurus carolinensis (gray squirrel), 295 nucleotides. RefSeq lists it as uncharacterized. Lineage: Eukaryota; Metazoa; Chordata; Mammalia; Rodentia; Sciuridae. The record is from RefSeq and is a predicted model, not a curated record. The transcript has 3 exons.